UCCGCUGAUACCAGCUUUGCGCCGCUGCGGCCCUAGGGGCUUUUUCGAGGGGACCCAAGGGGAAGAGCGAAUCCCGCCACCGCCAGCCUAGGUCGGAUCCUCAUCAGAUGCUGGACGUUGGAGGAGGCACCGGGUUGUGGGGCGCCACAGGAGGAUUGAACCCCCAGGCUACACCGAAGACUUGGAUGUAUCUCCGGCCAAGACAUUGCGCAUCUGCAAAAGGGAGAAAAGCCUGCUGCUCAGGAAUAUUCCAGUCGAUGUGAGAAGAAAGGGAUUGGACCCUUAGCUGUCUGGCUGCAACUCAUCUGCUGUGCCCUCAGCUUUUUCUGGUGUGCAGAUAGAGGGUGGGACUGGCAUUGCCUGGGACAGUCCCUAACCUGGGACAGCCUUCGAUGAUAUCACACCUGCACACCUCCGCAAGGAACCCGGUGGAGAGGAUGAGUGAAAUAGCCUGUGGGCAGCAGAGCCUGGAAGAACAGAGAACGACAAGCCUGUGGCAGCCUUGGACUGUUUUGGCCCUAACAAG
Molecule: long non-coding RNA, 526 nt
Organism: Cercocebus atys (sooty mangabey)
Lineage: Eukaryota; Metazoa; Chordata; Mammalia; Primates; Cercopithecidae
Exons: 4
Source: RefSeq, a predicted model, not a curated record